Molecule: ribosomal RNA, 1342 nt
Filed under: Pauliella taeniata
Lineage: Eukaryota; Bacillariophyta; Bacillariophyceae; Cocconeidales; Achnanthidiaceae
Description: eukaryotic LSU rRNA
Rfam family: Eukaryotic large subunit ribosomal RNA (bases 589-1342)
Source: RNAcentral
GUCGUAACAAGGUUUCCGUAGGUGAACCUGCGGAAGGAUCAUUACCACACCUAGAUCCAAGAUCUUUUUUAUUGUGAAUUAGAUGCCGAUUCCGUUUGGGAUUGGUGUCGAAAUUUUGGGUACGUACGUUUUUAAACGCUACCCGUAAAUUUUACCUUUCAACGUGCCUGACAAUAGGAACCGAAACCAAAAGGGGUUUGUUCUGUCUUGAUUGACGAGAGCACCUCUCCAACCUAAUACAUUACAAGUUUCAGCAACGGAUGUCUAGGUUCCCACAACGAUGAAGAACGCAGCGAAAUGCGAUAUGUAAUGCGAAUUGCAAGAUCUCGUGAAUCAUCAAUAUUUUGAACGCACAUUGCGCUUCCGGGAUUUUCCCUGAAGCAUGCUUGUCUGAGUGUCAGCAAAACCAACUCAGCGCUGAUGAAGUGUUUCGGCACUUUGAUGUUAGCUGCUGGAGUAUGGUAGUGCCAUAUUGGGCUCUACCGAAAUGCAUGCUGUCUUUUGUUCAGUAUGAAGACUGUGCUCUGUACAGCCUCUAGUAGUUAAUACGAGAGCAACUGUUUGUAGAGUACGUGUCAACCUAUUUUCUGAUCUCAGCUCAAGCAAGAGGACCCGCUGAAUUUAAGCAUAUAAUUAAGCGGAGGAAAAGAAACUAACUAGGAUUCCCUCAGUAAGGGCGACUGAAGCGGGAAUAGCUCACGAUGUGAAUCUGCGCUUUGCGCCGAAUUGUGGUCUGUAGACUCUUGCGUUACUGGCUGGGCCAAGUCCCUUGGAACAGGGCAGCUGAGAGGGUGAGACUCCCGUCCGCCUAGCCCUUGGAGCGAGUGUCAACGAGUCGAGUUGUUUGGGAUUGCAGCUCAAAGUGGGUGGUAAAUUCCAUCUAAAGCUGAAUAUUGGUGGGAGACCGAUAGCGAACAAGUACCGUGAGGGAAAGAUGCAAAGAACUUUGAAAAGAGAGUUAAAGAGUACCUGAAAUUGCUGAAAUGGAAGCGAAGGAAACCAGUGUUAGCUUCGUCAUACUUCCCCACCCGCUUGCGGUUGGGGCGCUGUGGCCAGCGUUGUCAGUUUUGGUUGGUAUGGUUGGAAUUCUUGCCUAGGGAGUUGACCUUGGCUUGGUGCAAUCGUUCCGACUGAGAUUGACGAAAUGGUUUUCUUUUUCCCGUCUUGAAACACGGACCAAGGAGUCUAACAUAUGUGCGAGUACAGGGGUGUCAAACCCUGGUGCGCAAUGAAAGUGACAGUGGCUGGAAUUUUGCACAGUCCGCCGGCCUCAAUCCUUCGGGAGAACGGUCUGAGUGUGAGCAUACAUGUUGGGACCCGAAAGAUGGUGAACUAUGCGUGA